Trachymyrmex cornetzi is the source of this 340-nucleotide long non-coding RNA. RefSeq lists it as uncharacterized. Lineage: Eukaryota; Metazoa; Arthropoda; Insecta; Hymenoptera; Formicidae. The transcript has 3 exons. The record is from RefSeq and is a predicted model, not a curated record.
GUAUGCUGAACCGGCGGAUGUGACGCAUUCCUAUACGCUCGCAAGAUCAAUUUUUUCUAUGGUCACGAGUAUGACAGGGCGGUUCCAUUUCCUGAGUGUCUCGCGGCGGGGGGUUGCUUUUCCAAUGGAGCCUGGACAGAGCUCGGCUCCGACUUUACUGAUUGUGACGUGUACUAUGACGGAAACUUAAACAGCGAAUUAUUGCACAAGGAUCAGAGUAUAACAUGGGAACAGGAGUUCCCAACCGCCGGUGUGUCUGGACCUACUAGCACACGGGGAACCGGAACUAUCGGAAGUGUAUCAGUUUCUGCCUCUUUAUGCUCAAUGGCCAGUGGUUCAU